This 74-nucleotide transfer RNA is filed under the name Caudoviricetes sp. Its description in RNAcentral is "tRNA-Arg". It matches the Rfam family "tRNA". Rfam says of the family: Transfer RNA (tRNA) molecules are approximately 80 nucleotides in length. Lineage: Duplodnaviria; Heunggongvirae; Uroviricota; Caudoviricetes. The record is from RNAcentral.
GCAAGCGUAACUCAGUUGGAUAGAGUGACUCGCUACGAACGAGGAAGACAUGGGUUCAAGUACUAUCGUUUGCA